This 398-nucleotide ribosomal RNA is filed under the name uncultured bacterium. RNAcentral's name for it is "bacterial SSU rRNA". It matches the Rfam family "Bacterial small subunit ribosomal RNA", at positions 28 to 420 of the family's 1533-position model. The record is from RNAcentral.
GACGAACGCUGGCGGCGUGCUUAACACAUGCAAGUGGAGCGACGAACCAGGGCUUGCCCUGGGGCAGAGCCGCGAACGGGUGAGUAACACGUGGGUAACGUGCCCCGAUGAUCGGGACAACCCGGGGAAACCCGGGCUAAUACCGAAUGUGCUCCCCUCACACCAGUGAGGGAUGGAAAGGAAGCUUCGGCCUCCGCAUCGGGAUCGGCCCGCGGCCCAUUAGCUUGUUGGUGAGGUAACGGCUCACCAAGGCUGCGAUGGGUAGCUGGUCUGAGAGGACGAUCAGCCACACUGGGACUGAGACACGGCCCAGACUCCUACGGGAGGCAGCAGUGGGAAUCUUGCGCAAUGCGCGAAAGCGUGACGCAGCAACGCCGCGUGGGGGAAGACGGCCUCGG